CCCUUUUGUUAUCCGACCGCGUUGCCUCGGGGGUGACCCGGACGCCNANCGGCGUUGGGUGCCCCCGGUGGACCACAAUCAAACUCUUGCAUCUUUGCGUCUGAGUAAUAUUUGAAUCAAAUCAAAACUUUCAACAACGGAUCUCUUGGUUCUGGCAUCGAUGAAGAACGCAGCGAAAUGCGAUAAGUAAUGUGAAUUGCAGAAUUCAGUGAAUCAUCGAAUCUUUGAACGCACAUUGCGCCCUCUGGUAUUCCGGAGGGCAUGCCUGUUCGAGCGUCAUUACACCACUCAAGCCUAGCUUGGUAUUGGGCGUCGCGGUCACACGCGCGCCUCAAUUGUACCGGCCGAGCACCCGAUCUCCGAGCGUAGAAGAAAUAUUUUCGCUUUCGAGUUAGGGGACUUGCGCCGUUAAGCCUCUUUACAAAGGUUGACUUCGGAUCAGGUAGG
RNAcentral lists this ribosomal RNA (447 nucleotides) under Phaeothecoidea sp. NO235a. Its description in RNAcentral is "eukaryotic LSU rRNA". The stretch from base 126 to 279 matches the Rfam family "5.8S ribosomal RNA". The record is from RNAcentral. Lineage: Eukaryota; Fungi; Ascomycota; Dothideomycetes; Mycosphaerellales; Teratosphaeriaceae.